AUGUACAACACAUAUGCCGGCAAAGUUGGAUUUAGUAUUAGAAAGAACCAGACAAAGCGUCGAGAUGAUGGUACUAUAUAUCAAAAAAGAAUUGUUUGCAGUAACCAAGGCCAUCGAGAAACCGAGUCGUCAAAGGACACUACAAGGACGGAUUGCAAUGCCCGUAUUCAGUUUAGUGUUAGCAAAAAGGGGAUUUGGACGGUUCAAAAGGUUGUAACCGAUCAUAAUCAUUAUCUUGCUAGUCCCAAUAAGGUGCACAAACUGAGAUCCCAACGACGUGUUAUAGAAGCGGACAGACAUCUAAUUGGCCAAAUUCGGGAAGCCGGGAUGAAACCAUCCCGGGUGUAUGACUUCAUGGUAGCGUUUUAUGGAGGACCGGACAAAGUGCCAUUCUCAAAGAUGGACUGCAACAACGAGAUUGGUCGUGAGGGCAAAAAGUACUUAGAAUCAAAUGAUUUGCAAACACUUCUCGAAUACUUGAAAAAUAAGCAGAGAGAGGAUCCAACAUUUUUUUAUGCCAUUCAAGUCGAUGAGAAAGAUGGUCGGAUUGCUAAUUUCUUUUGGGCAGAUGGCCAAUCUAUCAUGGAUUAUGCAUGUUUUGGAGAUGCUGUAUCAUUUGACACUACGUUUCAAACUAAUAAGUUUGAAAUGCCUUUUGCUCCAAUCCUAGGAACCAACCAUCACAAGCAGACUAUAAUUUUUGGGGCAGCGUUGUUAUUUAAUGAGACCAUUGAGUCAUUUGUUUGGUUGUUUGAAACCUUUCUGACAUCAAUGUUAGGUAAGCAUCCAAGCACAAUUUUCACUGAUCAAGAUGCGGCCAUGGCAGGAGCAGUUGCAUAUGUGUUUCGAAAUACAAGUCAUCGACUUUUUCUAUGGCACAUUUAUCUUAAUGCCGCUAAACAUCUCGGACAUGUAAUUCAUAAGCAUCCUGAGAAGUUUCUACUUGAUUUUAAGAGAUGUGCCUAUGAAGAUAGAUCAGAGUAUAAGUUCAACAAGAAGUGGCAUGAAUUGUUGGAUCAGUACAACCUCUAGGACAACGAAUGGAUGGCAAAGCUAUACGAGUUGAGGGAAAAGUGGGCUGUUGUGUAUCGUGACUCAUUUACAGCUGAUAUGAACUCGACUCAAAGGAGUGAAGGUAUGAAUAAUGUCUUCAAGCAAGAUUUCAUAGGAGACUUGGUCUCUCGGAACUCCUUGUAG
Molecule: ribosomal RNA, 1197 nt
Filed under: Triticum aestivum (bread wheat)
Lineage: Eukaryota; Viridiplantae; Streptophyta; Magnoliopsida; Poales; Poaceae
Description: partial small subunit ribosomal RNA
Source: RNAcentral